AAAAAAAGUUGGAAACUCAUAGUCACAGAUUUCCUUUAAACCGAUUUUUUCUUGAAGAGGGUGCAAAAUUAAAAAAAUCCUGUUUUUCAUUUUUUCAAUAUAUGUCCCGGUUACCAUGGAAACGAGGAUGCAAAUCCCCAACUUGCUUAAUUUUCAAAAAAAUAGGGGUGCAUGCCUAUUUUGUCAUCUGGAAAGUACUAGAAAGUGUCUUUUAUUUUAGUACUUGCAAAUUUUAAAGGCAAACGAACAAGGUUUCAUACCAAACUAAUAUUUCCAAAUAUUUAUUUGAUUCUGGUAUGAUCUAGACUUUUAUCUGCAAGAAAAAAUAUAUUUAUGGAGCAAAACAUAUGUUUAUAUUGUGCUCUAAAUCUUGAAAAGUGCACAGGUCUCAGCAGAAAAGUAUAUUUGUUUGUAUAAAGGGAAGAUGAUAUUUCAAAAUGAAACAUAAAUCGUAGUGGGUCAUUCAGACACAUUCUUGUAGAUUUGGGCCAAAGUUUAUGAUUUUGGGCAUUUUUUCCUAUUUUUAUUACCUCCCCUUGAUGCUCUUCAUUUAGGAAACCACAAAGAGCUUAUCUAAGUUUACUUCCUGGAUUAUGCUGAAUUCAGAUUUCUACUUGGAUUUUGCAAAUUUUUAGUAUAUAGAUACAAUGACAGUCAGAGAUUUUAUGCUAAUGGGCAUGUGAUGCUUGGACGUGUCCCUUCAAAGUCCACGUUUAAAAUUUGCUGAAUAGCGACAUUGUUUGGGAAAAAUACUCUGAUAGAAAAGAGUCUAAACUGUGGAUAGACAUCCAAGUCUGUCAUCUGUCUGUUUAUCUCCAUAAGUGAAGUUUGUAUCAACUGACAGAAGGACCAGUGUUAAAGGAUAACACUACAAUACAGCUGUGAGUUGUUUCUUUUGAAAAUGACUGCUUGAUGAUAAAGUUUCAAACAACUAUGAAGUGAGUGGAUGUUCUAGAGAGACUAAUUCUUCAAAGAAUGAAUGAUCAUCAUCAUCCUUAUAUUGGAAUAAAAGGAAGGAAGUGACAGCUACAUGGUAAAAGUAAAUGCAGUUAGAAGACCUCUGAUAUCACCUGAAGAGCCAGCCUUCUCAAGAUUCUGUAUCAAAUGAAAAUAACUAGGACUGCUAAAAAUACUUUUUAUAACUUGCAAAUGUGCAGUCUGUGACAUAAUUGUCUGAUCCAGGUAGUUUAGUGUUGACAAGAUGACAUUUCAUCUCUGUAGUAGAGGACACAAGUUUGAAAUGCAGUAUGUCAUUGUGAAGGCAAAAUGUUUAUGAAAAUAGUGUGUGUGUUUUCCAAAUAGAGAGGCUGAAAGUGGGGAAUCAUCAAUUAGUGUUUUUUGAAAUAAGUUAUGGACAUCUGAAUAGUGAAGAUCUGUCCUUUUUUUGGAUUGCCACAGACCAAAAUAAUGAUUGGUGCCUUUGACAUAAGUAGAAGAACUCACACUGGACACCCUGAAGAUGGACUUAUGUUGUUUGCAUUAAUGUUUUUUUUUCAGAUUUAUGGAAAAGAAUUAGAAUGUCAUUUCCUAAAAGUGUUGAUAGUUGUUUAACCAAAGGCCCUGUAAUUGAAAAAAAAAUCUUUAUUCUUGACUUUACAUUAAAAUUUAAAAAAAUCUGAUAUUGUUUGAUUACUUUUGCAUGUAUAACAUUAAAUUUGUUAUAUUUAAAUUUGAUAAAACUUAAUGUAUUUUGAAAAAGAUGCACUUGAAUAUAUCUAAAUGGAAUAAACACAUGACAGUAUUUGAAUAUUUGUAAAAGAAAAAAGCACAGGUUUUGCAGUUCUCAUCAGAUUUGGAUACCAAUUUACAGCAUAAUUAUACAUGAAGGCUUAUUACUCAAACAUAUGCAAAUCUAAUUGUAUAUUUUCUACCAUAGAUAAUUUCAUUUCAUAUAGAUUUUCUAAAUCUUUAAAAAAUACUGAGAAAGUAUAGCAAAACAAUGAUUGAAUUAGUAUACUUGAUUUUGUGAGACUGUUGAAAUAUUAUAAUUCUUUUUCCCUCUUAGGCCUGUAUCAUAAAAUCAUAUUUUCUGAUGAAAUUUAUUUUUUAAGAAUGUCUGCAAUGCAGAUUUUGAUGAAAAUUCAUACAUUUGUAAAGUUACCUAUAUUGUGUUAGGUAAUUACUUAAGCCCAUAUAUACUAAUUGGCCAAUGAUUAAAGAGAACAUCUGAGUUUCUAGCUGACUUUUCUGACUAAUUUAAGACCUCAUUCAUGUAACAACAUCUAUUUAUCUUCAGAAAUCCAAUAAAAUUGUCAUCUGUAAAACAGGUUUCAUUCUAAGAUAUACAAGGCAUGUGUCAUCCUAUUUUACCAGCAUGUAUUUACUUUAAUAAAUAAAGUAGAUUUAGUUGUGUAUUUUGAUAUAUUUUUGAAGAAGCAUUAGGAGAUAUGUCUGCAACUGCAGUUUGUAUUAACUGAGUAUUUACUGGCCCUUGAAUGUGCAUGAUCAGGGGUUUUCUGAAUAAACUUAGUAAAGUCUUAAAUCUACAUUAUCUAUAGCUAUCCGUAAAAAGUCUGGCCAUUGUCUUGAUAGUUUGAAAGAAUUAAAAACAUUUGAGCCGCGCCAUGAGAAAACCAAUAUAGUGGCUUUGCGACCAGCACAGAUCCAGAGCAGCCCGCGCAGUCUGGUCAGGAUCCAUCCUGUUCGCUUUCAAAGCAUAUUACAAUUAGAGAAACUGUUAGCGAACAGCAUGGAUCCUGACCAGACUGUGCUGAUGCACAGGCUGGUAUGGAUCCAUGCUGGUCGCCAACGCACUAUGUUGGUUUUCUCAUGGCGUGGCUCAUUUAAAGUUGUAUCUAGCAAAAUAUUGACUAAACUGUUCUGUAGAUCAUUUGAUUUAAUUUGAUUGUUAAAUAAAGAAUGUGCAUCAUGAUUGUUGUUACAUGAACAUACUGUAUAUUUUUAAAUAUCGUAUUUUUCAGUCUUGGAUUAUACACUGUUAUUUGUUCAUAAUUUUGAAUUGUAUUUAAAAUGUAUAUAUUAAAUCAAAUGGCGAAGUAGACAUGAUUUUGCUUUUACUGCUAUUUGUUUCCAUGGCAACAAAAUGAUUUCCAAAGGUGAAAGGACACUGUCUUUACACAAACACACAUAGAUAUUUUUGUUAUUUUAUCCAAAAAUGUCAUUUAAUAUCAAUGGCUUUAUAGUAAUUGCAGCAAAAAAAUAACUAUGAGUUAAAGUUCUUUUUUAAUGCAAAAUGAAUGUUGUAACCAUGGCAGCUUGAAAAAAAUAUUGGCCAGUCAUGAUAAGUAACCGUGCAAUACCUUAAAGACCAGUAUCAGUUGGUUAUGAGUAUUUCCAACUGCUUUGAAACUCAAAAUUAGUUUACCCUAAAGAAAGAAAAGUGCAUACAAGGUUGUUGAGAACUGACCUUGUGACAAUGCUUUAAGUUUCAUAGAUCGUUAUUAUGGUUGUAUCCUUCUUAAUUCUGCCCAGAAUGUGCUUCAGGUGCGUUAGAUGCAUUGAUAGUUUGCAGAUAAACUUUUCUUGAUUCAUAGAAUACAAAAUUGAUACAGAAAGUGCUUUAAAAAGGUCUGAAUUAUAAUUUUCUUGUACGUUGCCAUGGUAACGGAACAUUCUCCUUAAUUUCUAGACAAAGUGUUGGACAGUAUAACUUUGUAAGAUGAUUUUACAUGAAAAACUUAUGUUUUGCUAUAAUUCUGUAUCUGGCAAUGUAUUAUUAUUUCAGGUUAUUCUGUAAUUUAGGCAUAAAUGAGUUUGCUGAAAACUCAUUUUUUGUCAAUUUUCAAAAUUCUGUAUAAAGCUCAAAUAUGAAUGACCCACUAAAAUUCCUCCUUAAAUUGAAAUGGGUAUCAUAGCUCUGCUGAAUCCAUACAAGUAUUAUAUUCAGAUGCGUGCACUUUUUUUUCUAUUAGAAGUUAAAAAAUAUACAUGCAGACCAAUUUUUAAAGAUAAUGUAAAAUCUUAAAAGGGGGUAUUUAUAAAAUUGUUGCUUCUAAAACUGUGAAAAUGUUGAAAGGCAAUAUUUGCUUUAAAUAAUCACUUCAGGUAUGUAUUUCAGGCAAAUAUGAAAAUUAGUGCUUUAUUUCAGACAUAGAGCCCACUAUGUGUGAAGAAAAUUGUAACAUUUUAGUAAAAUUUGACUCUCAGAAAUUGCCAUUUUUCACAAAAAGUAUAAUGUACCCGUUUCCAUGGUAACCAGAGCUGAUUCAUAUCUUUUCGCCCUUAAUUCUUCAUAUAUGGCUUGAAUACUAAAAAGGGUGCAAAUAUGAAGUAAUUCUGAGACUAUGAGUUUCCGACCCCUUCUUUAAUUUUUUAGUUCUUACA
This is a long non-coding RNA of Mercenaria mercenaria, 4284 nucleotides long. RefSeq lists it as uncharacterized. NCBI's taxonomy places the organism in Eukaryota, Metazoa, Mollusca, Bivalvia, Venerida, Veneridae. The record is from RefSeq and is a predicted model, not a curated record. The transcript is spliced from 4 exons.